CCUGCACCCCUUCCCAACACCACCACCCAACACAACCACCCAACCCAUCUUCCAUUUGCUCCCUGCAUCCUGAAUGGCAGUGCCAAACAUUUCAGUCUCCGACAGAAGUGGGAGACGUCGUACAUCGUGCUGACCUGCUUUGUCCGUCCUGACGCAGGAGCAGAGUGUCAGCUGCCCUGCUUUCUCUCCCCCUCUGUCUCCUCUGUCUGCCUCAUCAGCCUGUAGAAAAGAGUUUUUUUUAAAAAGAGGGAAACAAUCUGAAGUCUAGGACGAAGACGCGCCUGCACCAUGAGGAGUCGUAUACUGACAGAGGAGCGGCGGUGGAUGAGGAGGAAGAAGAGGAGGAGGAAGAGGAGGAGAGACUGGAGGGAAGGAGCUGUUGCUGCAGCAGAGACCCGGCGCACCGCAUCACGGGGGAAACCCGGGAGCUGUCCAGCAGCAAUGGUGCUGAAACCACACCAAGUGGCGGUAGUGGGCUGUUACUGGACGGAACGACAAAGGUGGAAACCUGGUGACUUGUCUCGACCCCGCUGCUGCAGCUGAAGAUGAUGAUGACGCUGUUGGAGCCUCCAGCUGUGCACCGGAGGAGAAAAAAAGGGGGGACCCGCACUUAUGGAUGUUUUCACCGAGGAGUGCACGGUCAGAAAGAUGGACAUCGACCUCCCCCCUCCUCCCCCAUUCUUCCUCAUCCCGAGAACAGGGGCCCGAGGUGAGGAUUGAUGGAGGGGAAAUCCUGGCUGAGUGAAACACGUCUGAUGACGUCCGCUCUCCCUCCUCUUUCUUUUGCCUCCUCACUCCUCUGCAUCUUCUCCUCAGUCUCCCCUUCUCUUGCGCCACAGGAUUUAGGGCUGAAAUGACGAUCGUAAGAGGGGAAAAUUGGAAACUGCACUGAGAUCCAGGAAGAGUCUGGGAAGAUGCAGCUGCUGUCGUCUUUCGGGUCAAUCAGGAAUGUAUAGCUGCUGGGCUGCGAGGACAGGACGUGAAGGUGGACUCACCAAACGUGUGUGUGUCAUGUUAAAAUGUAUCAUCUUUAAUAUUAUCAGUUCAAACCCACUUUGUGGCUACUUUUGUCUCUCUAACAUAAUUCCUCUGGCUGUGUUACACUGUACUGUAAAUGUUGUGUAUUUGCUUCUUCAAUGUGAAAAUUGUAACAAAUAUCUCUGUGUAAAAACUCGGCCAACAUCACAGCCUGUAAUGUGAUAAAUGUUUAUUAACGAGGAGAUGAAUGUAAAAAUAUUGCGUGCGUAAAAAUAUUCCAGAAAACAAAAUCCCUGCUUGAAAAAAAAAACUUUGUGUACAUUUUAUUUUGUCAAAGAUGACUUUUAGUAAAUAUAUUAUUACUUUGUAUGGCUGGUCAGUGAGCAGUUUCAUUUUCAUCCCGUUUGCAAAUGUUGCACAACUCGCUGCUGCUGCCUUCCCCGGUCUCCUCCAUCUCUCUCCACUUGUGUCAGAGAAUUUGAGCAGCUGCAUGACGACUGUCAGCAUGUGGACUCAGUUUCAUACUCUCUACCCUCUUCUGAGUACACGACAGGCUUUGCUUAGUGCCACACAGCCUCGGUUUGUCAGGAUUUCAUGUUUAGUUUAGGUGUGUGUGCAAGAGAGAGUGGGGCAGGGAGAGGGAGCAUGGCGGCACAGGGGGGGGAGCGUUGGAGUGUAUUGCGCACAGCGUGUCUCUGGGUCGGAGUGGGGAACAGAGAGCGCGCACAUGAGACAAAAUCGUGACAGUGGGUUGUGCUGAAACAUCCAGCAUCUUUAAACACGACUGGAUUAUGGAUGUGACUUUUGAAUCGAUAUGAUGUGAAAAUGAAAUAAA
Paralichthys olivaceus (Japanese flounder) is the source of this 1813-nucleotide non-coding RNA. The record is from RefSeq and is a predicted model, not a curated record. Lineage: Eukaryota; Metazoa; Chordata; Actinopteri; Pleuronectiformes; Paralichthyidae.